GGCAGGGUAGCUCAGUCGGUCAGAGCGAGGCAAUCAUAACGCCUAGGUCACGAGUUCGAUCCUCGUCCCUGCUA
RNAcentral lists this transfer RNA (74 nucleotides) under Candidatus Collierbacteria bacterium RIFOXYB1_FULL_49_13. RNAcentral's name for it is "tRNA-Met". It matches the Rfam family "tRNA". Rfam says of the family: Transfer RNA (tRNA) molecules are approximately 80 nucleotides in length. The record is from RNAcentral. Lineage: Bacteria; Candidatus Collieribacteriota.